AAUAGAUACCCUGGUAGUCCACGCCGUAAACGUUGGGCGCUAGAUGUGGGGACCUUUCCACGGUUUCCGUGUCGUAGCUAACGCAUUAAGCGCCCCGCCUGGGGAGUACGGCCGCAAGGCUAAAACUCAAAGGAAUUGACGGGGGGCCCGCACAAGCGGCGGAGCAUGCGGAUUAAUUCGAUGCAACGCGAAGAACCUUACCAAGGCUUGACAUACACCAGAACACGCUAGAGAUAGCGGACUCUUUGGACACUGGUGUACAGGUGGUGCAUGGUUGUCGUCAGCUCGUGUCGUGAGAUGUUGGGUUAAGUCCCGCAACGAGCGCAACCCUCGUCGCAUGUUGCCAGCACGUUAUGGUGGGGACUCAUGUGAGACUGCCGGGGUCAACUCGGAGGAAGGUGGGGAUGACGUCAAAUCAUCAUGCCCCUUAUGUCUUGGGCUUCACGCAUGCUACAAUGGCCGGUACAAAGGGCUGCGAUGUCGUAAGGCGGAGCGAAUCCCAAAAACGCCGGUCUCAGUUCGGAUUGAGGU
RNAcentral lists this ribosomal RNA (531 nucleotides) under uncultured bacterium. RNAcentral describes it as "bacterial SSU rRNA". It matches the Rfam family "Bacterial small subunit ribosomal RNA", at positions 777 to 1304 of the family's 1533-position model. The record is from RNAcentral.